This 1638-nucleotide small RNA is filed under the name Histoplasma ohiense. RNAcentral describes it as "hypothetical lncRNA". Lineage: Eukaryota; Fungi; Ascomycota; Eurotiomycetes; Onygenales; Ajellomycetaceae. The record is from RNAcentral.
CUCACUGCUAAGCUAUCGCCGCUGCCAACCUAUCUAUUGCUGCAAGCUAUCCCUUGCUGCUAAGCUAUCGCCGCUGCCAAUCUAUCUAUUGCUGCAAGCUAUCCCUCACUGCUAAGCUAUCGCUGUCAACCUAUCUAUCACUGCCAACCUAUCUAUCACUGCCAAUUUAUCUACCACUGCCAAUCUAUCUAUUGCUGCUAAUCUAUCACUGCUGUCAAUCUAUCUAUCGCUGCUAAUCUAUCUAUCGCUGUCAAUCUAUCCCUCACUGCCAAUCUAUCUAUUGCUGCUAAUCUAUCGCUGCCAACCUAUCUACCGCGGCGAAUCUAUCUAUCACUGCCAAUUUAUCUACCACUGUCAAUCUAUCUAUCGCUGCCAAUCUAUUGCUGCUAAUCUAUCGCUGCUAAUCUAUCGCUGCUGCCAAUCUAUCUAUCGCUGCUAAUCUAUCGCUGCUGCCAAUCUAUCCCUCACUGCUAAGCUAUCCCUCGCUGCUAAGCUAUCCCUCACUGCUAAGCUAUCCCUCGCUGCUAAGCUAUCCCUCGCUGCUAAGCUAUCCCUCACUGCUAAGCUAUCCCUCGCUGCUAAGCUAUCCCUCACUACUAAGCUAUCUAUCACUGCUAAUCUAUCGCUGCCAACCUAUCUAUCACUGCCAAUCUAUCUAUCGCUGCUAAUCUAUCACUGCUAAUCUAUCGCUGCCAACCUAUCUAUCACUGCCAAUCUAUCUAUCGCUGCUAAUCUAUCGCUGCUAAUCUAUCGCUGCCAACCUAUCUAUCGCUGCCAAUUUAUCUACCACUGCCAAUCUAUCUAUCGCUGCCAAUUUAUCUACCACUGCCAAUCUAUCUAUCGCUGCUAAUCUAUCGCUGCUAAUCUAUCACUGCCAACCUAUCCAUCGCUGCCAAUUUAUCUACCACUGCCAAUCUAUCUAUCGCUGCUAAUCUAUCACUGCUAAUCUAUCGCUGCCAACCUAUCUAUCACUGCCAAUCUAUCUAUCGCUGCUAAUCUAUCGCUGCUAAUCUAUCGCUGCCAACCUAUCUAUCGCUGCCAAUUUAUCUACCACUGCCAAUCUAUCUAUCGCUGCCAAUUUAUCUACCACUGCCAAUCUAUCUAUCACUGCUAAUCUAUCGCUGCUAAUCUAUUGCUGCUAAUCUAUUGCUGCUGCCAAUCUAUCUAUCACUGCUAAUCUAUUGCUGCUAAUCUAUCACUGCUAAUCUAUCGCUGCUAAUCUAUCGCUGCUAAUCUAUCGCUGCUAAUCUAUUGCUGCUAAUCUAUCGCUGCCAACCUAUCUACCGCGGCGAAUCUAUCUAUUGCUGCCAAUCAACCUACCACUGCCAACCUAUCUAUUGCUGCCAAUCUAUCGCUGCCAACCUAUCUACUGCAGUGAAUCUAUCUAUCACUAUCAUUACUAGUUCAAAAUAGAACUAGAGCAUAAAUACACUAAACUUCUUUUGAUAGAUAAUGAUUUUUGAUAACACUCAUAGCAUUAUAUCAUCUAUAUAGGGUAAAUCAUGGUCCCAUUUGGUCCCAUUUUAACAAAAUGGGAUCAAAUGAAACCAGAAUCAGUAAUUUAUAAGAAGAACAUGAUCUGAGACUAGAUUUAUAAUAUAAACAGUGUAAAGUGACUAAUUUAAUAAACACUAUAUG